GGGUACAGCAUUACCCUUUGAAACUAAUUUCUUGACAGCAUUGUGCAAUUGGUGCCUUGGAGAUCUGCUUUUAGCUGUACCUGCAUGCCCAAAUCUAUUUAUAUAUAUAUAUAUAUAUAUAUAUACUCACACAGUAGGCAUCAACAUAGGUUUAUAUUUUCUAGAGGGAGGGAAAAAAAUCUGGGUUUGAAUGAACGCUUCAGUUUAUAAUAAUGGUUCUCCUCUUUUGGUCCAGAGAGCGCUUCUUUGCUACACUGAUAUAGUGCAGCUCAACAGAAGGCAAUGCCAUUGUAGCGGUCUGUGAGCUCGUUGGUCCGUUGGUAAACCAUUUCAACAACUGUUGGUGGUUUACUGUUAGAAUGUGUACAGAGGCUCAUUGUUUCCUGAUACUGUAUCACAGUUAUUUCAAUCACAAACGUAUUUUUCUCUCCGGUUCACUAUAAGGCUGACAUUUGGUUGGAUGGAUAGCCAUGUAUAUUAAUGUUCCUCUCAGGAUGAUUUGUAAGAACUUUGCUGACCCUUAAAUUUCCACGCUGCAUCAUCUUAAAGUCAAAGUCAUAGACUGUAUAAAAGAUGGACCUAGCCACCAGAGCAUCAUCCAUUGGCCUGUUAAGUGCUUCAGUGGAUGAGUGUUUUCCCCAGCUGGUUUCAAACAUCACAGCUGGUUUCAAACACUGUGAUGUUUGAAACCAGCUAUGAUGUGUAAGGUGUGGAUUUGACUGAGAAACUGCUUGCUCAGUAUUAAGAUUUUUAAAACGAGGUUGGAACGACUAUGUUCUGAAACUGGCAACUUUGUCUGUAACUUGUCAACUAGGAACUGUGGGCGGUUUUCUGUAAAGGUUUAUAUGACCCAAAGUCUUUUUGCAGUCAGAGGACUCGCCCCCUGCUGGAUAUCAGAAUGCACCUUUAAGGCGCUCCUGCAUUAGCUUGACUUUGUCCAUCCUUUAAACAGUCCAUGGUCAAAUUUUCAACGGUUCAGUUCCUGCAAGACUAAUAAUAAUGUCUGUUGUACUUUGUGUCUAACCAGCAAAUAUGAGAAAUAUUAGCUGAAAUAAGAUGACUAAGGCCUCAUUUACACAAGACGUAGAGAGCUGAUGGCGACUGCCUGGCACUGGAAGGCUGCUAGGAAAAAAAAAAUUCUCCAACCAAAAGAAAACUACAUUAAGCUCUCCCAUUAUUCACUAAGGGUUUCCACAGUGGGCAGUGCUGCACAUUUGAUUGGGCAGGAUACUCAUCCUGAUGCAACCCACAAGGUAUUUCCUCCUGGUCUUGAACUGGGGGAUCUUUUGCUUGUUGUGGGCAGUCGCUGUGGAAUCCAUUGCUAAGACCAGUGACCCCCUUGUAACUGCCGUUCACUAUGGAAAAAUGUGUUUUCCCAGAUUAGCAAAAGGUUGUUGGAGGUUACUGUUGCUAGGUGAAGCUGGCUGUAACAAAAUAGAGGGCCGAUUUGGCACAGAGUUUGCACGGAAGUCUCCACCUGGUUUGCAAACACUUCAUGUCUUGUCAACUACUCACGAAGCGAUAGUAAAACUGUGAAGAAUAGAGCACAGACUGCCUUUACAGUAAAAGUGUUGCCUUUUGAAAUAUGUUGGUUCAGCAGCUUUUACUUUGAACGCAAAUGUUCUAGGUGGUGCUACACUUGUUCAUGUUUCAUUACCACUCAUUGGUUGACUGGUGAGUGUUUGCAGACAAAUUCCAUGCAAACUGUGGACGACCGCAGUAAUCUGCUAGCGACCAAAGCAAUUGCAACAAGGUUUUUGAGGCAGUACCCUGUUUUGCAAACUAUUUUACACAACGACAGCCAGCAACCACUCACCAACCAGUCAGGGAAUACACAUUUUAUAAGGGGCGUGCUGACUGGUCUGCGGCCCUACAAGGCAUAUACAUAUACUCGCUUAGCAUGUUAAGCUUAACUAUUGUGACCAUAUUAGCAUGCUAGCAUUGAGCUCAGAGGACAACUGGUAGCAUAAAUCUGAGUACUUACGCUCUUAAUAUUUAUACAAAGAAGUAUUUUAGUGAAAUAUUGAACAAAAAGGCCAACCAUACUCUUUCAUGCCUUUCCUACCUGGCAGGACAAGGCAGGUUUAUCCAUGUUUCCAAGAAAUCUUCAGUGGGUAAAUAUGGGUACCCACUGAAGGUCGGGUAAAAACCCACUAAAAGUGGGUAAAAAUAUCCACAAUAAAACAUUUAAAACUGUUGAACCAUGAUACAGUGUGAAAAACAAUGGUUCAAAUAGCAAUAUUUUCAAGUAAAUUCACUUUUUAAAGAGAACAGUGCAGCAAAGCUUUUACCAUAAUUAGUCUUCCAUCAUUUUACGACUCUUUGGAUUUCAUUCUGUACAUUCACGUGUGCUCUUUUGUAUGUAUAUAGUAAAGAUUUUAUGUACGAUGUGACAGUGAUUUAAAUCAUUUGUGCUGUUUUUUUCUACCAUCCAGAAGUGGAGAUAUGCACCGAUUGAAUGAAACAGAUUUUGAGUGUUUUCCCCCCACAGGAUUGUACAAAAAGCCUGAGCUUUGUAAUUUUAAAUGUAGCAACAAACUGAGCACUUGAUCAUUCAGUACGCUUACAGCUGAAAAUAUUUUUCUCCUGCUUGUCAUCAGCUUUAAAAAACACGGUACACCCCAGCCUCAGCGGCCACUCCAGGAGUCGUAUGUCAACACGUUGUGCUGGUACUUCUUGACAAGCGCAACAACUCCAAUCACUGCCACUUCCUGUUUUUGAACGUGAUUUGUAUUGAUUUCCAUGUAUAGUGUUCCCCUUGUGUAUCUCACUAUCGAAUCGUUUGAUUCUUCCCCAAUGGACACCUCUUGUGUUUUUACCUCUGUAAUGAUGGUAGUGCUGUUAGUCUUGCCUUUUUUGUGCACCAAAUUAAUAAACUUAGUUGAUACCAGUGAGAAUUUAUGGCUUUUUAAUUAAUGCUGUGUUGUAAAAUACAGAAAAAAUACAACUUUGCAAGCAAAAAUAAAUCUCAUACUUGCAGAUUCA
Molecule: long non-coding RNA, 2985 nt
Organism: Astatotilapia calliptera (eastern happy)
Lineage: Eukaryota; Metazoa; Chordata; Actinopteri; Cichliformes; Cichlidae
Source: Ensembl